Molecule: long non-coding RNA, 970 nt
Organism: Lactuca sativa (garden lettuce)
Lineage: Eukaryota; Viridiplantae; Streptophyta; Magnoliopsida; Asterales; Asteraceae
Source: RefSeq, a predicted model, not a curated record
CUGACCUUGUAUACCCGAUCCUCAAAACUACGUAGUUUUGUGUACCCCUUUCCUUUUCUUUAAUUACAUCGAUUUCUUCUUAUUUUCUGUAACAUUUCUCACCCCUUGUCCGACCGACGUUCCCAUCCGCCACCACCACCCACCCGUUUUUCCUCUUCCCUUCUUACUCUUCACCGGAAGUCCGCAUCUUCACCAAAUCGAUUUCAUAGAAAUUAGAAUUCAAUUCAUAGAGUUCCCAUAAAUCUCAUUAUUUCUAUUUCAUUGAUUCAUUCUUUCUUUAUCGCCAUCUCAUUCUUUCUCUGUCGCCGACUCAUUCUUUCCUCCUCACUUGUCACUCUUCACCGGAAAUCACCAUCACAAAAUUGGAACUGGGUCCUAGGGUCCAUGGGUUAUCGAUGCUUAUUGAUUUGAAAAAGAUUGUGAUUUAAGCAGGUUCUCAUGGAUAAUAUUUUGCUCCUGUGUACAUACAGCCAAUAACAAUGUUGUAUAUGUAAAUUAGAAGGGCAAUAAUGUCAUGCGUCGCUAAAAAAAAAAUUUCCAUUCGUCUUGGGAAUCAGUGUUUCCUUUGCUCAUUUUUCAUCCAUCCAAAAAACAGGAUACACAACUUUGCCUCAAAACAAAGUGUCGAACCAACAUUGCAAUUGUCUUUUGGCGACCCAACAUGAGCAAAAUCGUCUAACAAGGGAAAAAGCCAUCACACUUAUGUGUUAAAGAUGUACCAGUGAUCAUGGAAGUUAAUGUGAUGUAUGCAAGAUGUACCAGUGAGAUUGAAGUGUGUCUUGACUAGUUCUUUGUAGCUAAGGGUUUCUGCUCAUGUGUUUAGUAAAUAAAUUAUUGGUAGUUUGAUUGUGAUUUGAAUAGCUUCCAUGUUCUUGUUUUGGUAUUUGUUUUUCUUUCUCUUGCGUUGACCUUUUAACUUGGUCAACAGUUAUGUAACUUAAAAAGGCAAUGCAAUUUCGUAUUUUGACUA